Crotalus tigris (Tiger rattlesnake) is the source of this 1080-nucleotide long non-coding RNA. RefSeq lists it as uncharacterized. The transcript has 4 exons. Lineage: Eukaryota; Metazoa; Chordata; Lepidosauria; Squamata; Viperidae. The record is from RefSeq and is a predicted model, not a curated record.
GUGUUUUAGCCUGACCCAGAUCCUCUCAUGCAAGAGGAAAAGAGAAGCGCCCACCAGCAUACAAAAUGAUAAAUAGGAAGAUUUACGUGCAGCUUAGAAUUUGUGUCGAGGCUCGGAUUGUAACUAGACUCUUUUAAGGUUCUCAACAGAAGCAGACAGCACUUAGCAAGACUUCCAAAAAUUAUAACUGGAUAUGUGAAUAAAAACUUCCUUCUCCCUUUGUGACCUGGGUCAUGAAAGAGUCCACUGAAGUUGAGCUGCCAAAAACCUAAAGACCAGGAGAUGGCAUCAGAACCAUAAGCUCUCCUGAAGAGCCAGAACAAGACACCCAAUUUUUUUGAGGUGAGGACAAUAAAAUGAACUUCCUUUGCUCCAUCUAGAGAACUGACAUUAUUGUAAAAUCAAGGAUCAGAUGCCUAUUAAUCAAAGAGAGCAAUUCAAGUUCCUCUCUCCAUGUAGUGGUUGAAUUCCAUCUAAAGCCCACUUAGCUUCUUUCUUACCUCAAAAAUGGAAAGUCUAGCCACAGUGGAGGCUUUGUCUCCUACAACGCUUCUCAUUGUCCUUUUAAUUGUUCUAUUGUUCUUUUCUUUCUUUUUUUUACUAUUACUUUAAUACACUCAGGUAUCCCUUUGCUUGUACCUCAAAACAUUUUUCUUGAUGUGCACACUUGUUUGCUGCUUUUUAAAUAAGUGAGCAGCUGUCAGUUUAGGUUAUGCCUACACUAGGGUCAAGAGAACAAUUUGGAAUGUGCAGUUUAUACUUUAUACCUGAGCCAGAUGUCACAGGGACUGAACAAAAUGCCAACAUGGAUGAACCCGCAAAUAAACAUGAUCUUCCCACAAAGUUUGUUCUGUUUUUUAUUGUUGGCUGUCCAAAGUCAGGUACUUGGAAUGGGCAACCAGGUAAAUUAAUUAAUCAAUUAAUUGAUUGAUUAAAUUAAUAAAGCCAUGCUUAUGCAACAACCCAUUCGUUUGCCUGGCUAAUACUACCAAUAGGUAGACAUAUUUCUUCCAAGGCAUAAAGGAUCCCCAGUGCAUCCCUCAAGACUCUCUCAUAGGUCCACAAAAUCAAAUUUAUUUU